GCAUUGGUGGUUCAGUGGUAGAAUUCUAGCUUACCAUGUUGGAGGCCUGGGUUCGAUUCCCAGCCAAUGCA
RNAcentral lists this transfer RNA (71 nucleotides) under Ameiurus melas (black bullhead). It matches the Rfam family "tRNA". Rfam says of the family: Transfer RNA (tRNA) molecules are approximately 80 nucleotides in length. Their secondary structure includes four short double-helical elements and three loops (D, anti-codon, and T loops). Further hydrogen bonds mediate the characteristic L-shaped molecular structure. tRNAs have two regions of fundamental functional importance: the anti-codon, which is responsible for specific mRNA codon recognition, and the 3' end, to which the tRNAs corresponding amino acid is attached (by aminoacyl-tRNA synthetases). tRNAs cope with the degeneracy of the genetic code in two manners: having more than one tRNA (with a specific anti-codon) for a particular amino acid; and 'wobble' base-pairing, i.e. permitting non-standard base-pairing at the 3rd anti-codon position. Lineage: Eukaryota; Metazoa; Chordata; Actinopteri; Siluriformes; Ictaluridae. The record is from Rfam by way of RNAcentral.